Non-coding RNA from Fusobacterium sp. CAG:439, 395 nucleotides. The record is from Rfam. Lineage: Bacteria; Fusobacteriati; Fusobacteriota; Fusobacteriia; Fusobacteriales; Fusobacteriaceae.
GGGGACGUUUUGGAUUUGACAGGAUGUUCGGUUGAGAUGGAUUGCGAGUGCGGGCGCUGUUCCCGCUUAUCAACGAGCAAACUAAAUUAAAUGCUAACAACGUAAUUAAAGCAGACUUCUCUAGAGCACAAGCUUUAGCAGCUUAGUCGCUAAUUAUAGCUACUCAUAGUACCCAGCUUGCCGGUUCUAUGGGUCCAUUAUGCAAGCGGCAGUGCAUUAAUGACGGUAGAUGCAUCAAGAUAACCGUUAAAGGUUAGUGUUUCCGGCAAAAACACUUUGAAUUAUUUACAAGGUUUUGAUAUUCCCUGAAUAGUUCGAGAAAAUUAAUAUCUACACUCGUAGAAAUUUAUCAAGAUCCAUUUUGGACAGGGGUUCGACUCCCCUCGUCUCCAGUU